Molecule: non-coding RNA, 70 nt
Organism: Podarcis lilfordi (Lilford's wall lizard)
Lineage: Eukaryota; Metazoa; Chordata; Lepidosauria; Squamata; Lacertidae
Source: the annotation of a GenBank genome assembly
GGUCUUGGCUUAAUGAUAGAACAUCUGAUUUGCAUUCAGAAGGUCUCAGGUUCAAUCCAAGUAGGAGCCA